RNAcentral lists this ribosomal RNA (486 nucleotides) under uncultured bacterium. Its description in RNAcentral is "partial 16S ribosomal RNA". It matches the Rfam family "Bacterial small subunit ribosomal RNA", at positions 30 to 507 of the family's 1533-position model. The record is from RNAcentral.
AUUGAACGCUGGCGGCAUGCCUUACACAUGCAAGUCGAACGGCAGCACGGGUGCUUGCCCCUGGUGGCGAGUGGCGCACGGGUGAGUAUUACAUGGGAACAUGUCCUGUAGUGGGGGAUAGCCCGGCGAAAGCCGGAUUAAUACCGCCUACGAUCUACGGAUGCAAGCGGGGGCCCUUCGGGCCUCGCGCUUUAGGGUUGGCCGAUGGCGGAUUAGCUAGUUGGUGGGGUAAAGGCCUACCAAGGCGACGAUCAGUAGCUGGUCUGAGAGGACGACCAGCCACACUGGGACUGAGACACGGCCCAGACUCCUACGGGAGGCAGCAGUGGGGAAUUUUCGACAAUGGGCGAAAGCCUGAUGCAGCAACGCCGCGUGUGUGAAGAAGGCCUUCGGGUUGUAAAGCACUUUUGUCCGGAAAGAAAUACUUGGCCCUAAUACGGUCGGGGGAUGACGGUACCGGAAGAAUAAGCACCGGCUAACUACGUG